RNAcentral lists this long non-coding RNA (659 nucleotides) under Nicotiana benthamiana. Its description in RNAcentral is "long non-coding RNA (NBEN_LNC015246)". Lineage: Eukaryota; Viridiplantae; Streptophyta; Magnoliopsida; Solanales; Solanaceae. The record is from RNAcentral.
UUUUCCUUAUCAUCCAGCUCACCCACUCUCAUCUCACAAAGAAUUUUUAGCGUUUCUUUGUUGAAAUUUUUUUUUCUUUGUGUUUGUAAAUAUGAUUUUGGCUUUCACUUCAUCUGUAAUCCAUGGUUCUUUGUCCUCUUCUUCUUAUGAAUAUCUCAAAGGUAACCCUUUAUUUCAUUUUUUUACCUUUUGUAGAUUCAAUCUUUAUGUGAUAAUUUCAAGAUUUUUAGCACCCUGGUUUCAAUUUUCUUAUGUGCUUGUAUCAGUAUAUGUAGUUAUUUUUUCUCUAUUAUUUCGUGAAUUUUUUGUCUUCUUAUGAACAAUUUAAAAAUUUUCAUUACUAGUCUCUUCCAAAGUUUUAAUAUUUCUCCUAAAUUUGAUUGAUAUAUUUGGAAAAUUUUAGCAUUUAGGCUCAUUUUUUUUGUUUCAAAUUUUUGGUGUGUUUUUAUCCUUGUCUUCUGACUUAUCAACACAAAUGUACAUGUUGAUUUUCCAUUUAAGAGUUUCAAUACUUAUCCUGAGUUUGAUUGGCGAAAUUUCAUAAUAUGGUUUGAAUAUCGGGUUAUUUGAUUUUGGAUUUUAUCUAUUGUUUAAUUAAUUUGUUAUUGUGUGUGUGCAGUGUACCAAUUGGAGAAGAAUAAAGGGGGAGAUCAGAUGAG